AUGGAUUGAGAAAAAGCAUGUAAUGGCGAUUGGAGGCGGGAUUGUGAAAGAGAUUCAAAGUGAAGAGUAUAAAAAUACUCUUAACACAAAGAAAGCACAGAGAAACCCGUACUAUGAAGCCAUUUUUUCGAUUUCGGAAGAAGAGGCAAGGGCACCCCGUAGAAAACCUACAGGUAUUUCAGAGCUAUUGAUUAAAUCUCUCCCCUUUUGAUUUUUACCUCUUUCUCCCAUUUCAUUUUUUUUUCUGUUAAAAACAUUCGCGCAAACGAAAAAAAAAGAACAGAACGAUUGAUUACAGUUUCGACAUAGGAAAAGACCGAAAUCAAACUAAAAAGAACCUAAA
Molecule: long non-coding RNA, 343 nt
Filed under: Brassica napus (rape)
Lineage: Eukaryota; Viridiplantae; Streptophyta; Magnoliopsida; Brassicales; Brassicaceae
Description: long non-coding RNA (BNAP_LNC021669)
Source: RNAcentral